This 291-nucleotide ribosomal RNA is filed under the name uncultured bacterium. RNAcentral describes it as "partial 16S ribosomal RNA". It matches the Rfam family "Bacterial small subunit ribosomal RNA", at positions 773 to 1060 of the family's 1533-position model. The record is from RNAcentral.
GUGGAUUAGAUACCCUGGUAGUCCACGCCCUAAACGAUGCGAACUAGGUGUUGGAGAAGGAGACUUCUUUAGUACCGUAGCUAACGCGUGAAGUUCGCCGCCUGGGGAGUACGGUCGCAAGAUUAAAACUCAAAGGAAUUGACGGGGACCCGCACAAGCGGUGGAUGAUGUGGAUUAAUUCGAUGCAACGCGAAAAACCUUACCUACCCUUGACAUGCCAGGAAUCCCGGAGAGAUUUGGGAGUGCUCGAAAGAGAGCCUGGACACCGGUGCUGCAUGGCUGUCGUCAACG